Long non-coding RNA from Melopsittacus undulatus (budgerigar), 976 nucleotides. RefSeq lists it as uncharacterized. The record is from RefSeq and is a predicted model, not a curated record. Lineage: Eukaryota; Metazoa; Chordata; Aves; Psittaciformes; Psittaculidae. The transcript is spliced from 3 exons.
CGGGGUCAUGGCCAGGCUGUGCUCGCUGGACUCGCACUCGUGGAUGGUGACGAUCUUGAGGGCAGGCGGCAGGUGCAGGCUUCACCUCCUCCCCUUCUCCUGGGUCUUCUUGCCCUGCUCGAAGAGCGCGGCCUCGUUGAAGGACACGCGGCGGGCGGUGGAGGAGCUGGAGGACAGGAACCGCUCGCUCUCCGCAUCCCGGUAGCUGGAGGAUGAGAGGCAGUCGGGGUCCUCCACUUUGAUGGUGAUAUCUAUGGAAAAGGGGGUGUCAGCAACCAGGGACCCCCCACCGUGGUGCACGCCAGCAUCACCAGCAUCCCCAGCUGAGGCCGGGCAAACUCGCUGCACCCAAGGCCUCAAUGCCAACCACCCAGUUGGGUGUUGGGUGAUGGGGGUGUGUGGCCAUCCCAGCAUCCAGGAGAGGGGGGUCCCAGGAGCUGCUUCACCCCCAGUGGGGAGCUGCUGGUGUUACUGGUGGGUGGGCACUGGCAGGUCGCUGUGAUGCUCACCCUGGGCCGGCUGCGAGUCCUCCAGUGGUGCCCACCGGGAGUGCCGGCGGUCGGCCUCGCAGCACCGGCGGCAGAUGAUCAGGAUGCUGGAGAGCAGGACCAGGGUGCCGCCAAUGAAGAUGGAGAGGAGGGCAAGGAGCAGCACGUACCCAUCCUGGGGGGACACCUCACCGGGCACCGCCUGCACCGGGCACAGGGGCUGAGCCGGGGGGGGUCCACAUCCCAGCCCCACAGGGGUGUGGAGCUGAUGCUGAGAUCUGCUCCCCAGAGAUGCUCCUGCUCCCCCGCCACCCCCGGGCCUGCUGCCAGCUCCGGGGACCUGCCUUCACCAAGGCAACGGCAGCCGGGGGGCCCCACACUGAGCAGGGAUGGGGAUGGGGACAGGACCCCAGCCCCAGCACGGGGGUCGGUGCCUGCACCCCCACGUACCCACACUCAGAGCAUCUCAGCGGGAUGCAGAAGGCACG